GGGUUUCCCAAACAGGCGUGUGUAUUGGACGCCUCUGGAGGAGAGCAGGCUGGCGCCGAGGCCCGGCCUUGAGAGCGGCGCGCGCUAUAAAUUGGCGCGUGCGGCAACACGCGUCCGCUUUGUAGAGAGAAAUUUUGGUGCAGCUUCAAGCUUAGGAUUACCCACCAUGCCCAUCCAGGUGCUGAAGGGCCUGACCAUCCCUUGGUAAGAACAGAGGAGGCUGCCUGUUACUCAUGGUGAUGGCGAGAAGGUGGACGUAGACAGGCUCUCUGCUGUUUCCUGCCUAGGCGUGGCUGCAGCCGUGGCUAGGAAAGUGCUGCACCCACCCCCCUGGGCCGGAGCUGGUUCUGCUCCCGCUACAGGGACACAGCUCCUGGCUGUCUCGGCGCUUCGGGCAAGAACCGCAACAAGCUCUCCUGGGCCCUGCAGGUGUACGGCCGGGCGCCUGCCUUGUGCCUCAUCUCUCAAGAACUGCUGCUGCUGCUGGGCGACCUGAUCCAACCUGACAAGGUGCCAUCUUCAGCUACCACUGCAAGGCCCUGAGGGCAACAGCAGCGCGGCACUGCCCACCUGGCUGCUGGUGGCCUGGUGCCAGCUGGGAGUCCUCCCAGCACUUCGAGGCCACUGAGCCGCCCUUCCAGCCCUGGCCCACCAUGGAGAGGGGUAUCCAGCUUCCUCUUCAACCCCAUCGUCUGCCCCUGAGCCAGUGACGCCCAAGGACAUGCCUGUUAGGUUACCCAGGUCCUGUACCAGCGCCAGCUGGUCAAGGGCAUGACGUUGUUCUAGGCUGUCCUGGACAUCCAGGCCAUUGCCGACAGCAGGCUGCUUUCCAUGGAGCCAGAGGCUGCCAGGCUCACGCUAGGACCCAACCCAGUGCACAUGGACCUGGCUGCUGAGCCGCACACCCAGGAGAAGGUGGAUAAGUGGGCUACCAAGGGCUUCCUGCAGGCUGGAGGAGGAGCCACCCUGCUCCCCUGUUCUGACCAGGCCUGUGGGGAGGAGCUGCCUACAUGCCGCCAUGAGACCUGGGCCUGGCUGCCAAGGACAGAUACCACUUGGCCUGGUGCUCCAGGGGUGAAACAGGCCAGAAUCCUGGGGGAGCUGCUCCUGGUUUGAGCUGCAGUCAGGAAGUGCGGGACAUGGUAGGGGAGGCAAAAAGCCUUGGGCAGUACCCUCCCGGUGGAGCCAUUCGGCAUCCCUCGAGCUAGCCACACCCUGACACUGUUCAAGGGCUCCGGAAGAGAGGGGUGUCUGCCCUCAACCUCUCCCCGCCGUGGGUGUCACUGGCCAGACGUCAUGAGGGGAGCAGGCUGCGUGAGUGGACACUUACCAUGAGUGUCUGGGGGGAGUGAUUCCCCCAUGCAUUGUGUGCCAUAUUACAUUUCUGCCCAGGCAGCAGGGUAGGUGGGUACCAUGGGUGCCCACCCCUCCACCACAUGGAGCCCCAAAGCACUGCAGGCCAAGCAGGGAGACCCCACACCCAUGACAUAAAAGCAUCUUGAAGCUUUUA
Chlorocebus sabaeus (green monkey) is the source of this 1510-nucleotide non-coding RNA. The record is from RefSeq and is a predicted model, not a curated record. NCBI's taxonomy places the organism in Eukaryota, Metazoa, Chordata, Mammalia, Primates, Cercopithecidae.